This is a long non-coding RNA of Bombyx mandarina (wild silkworm), 1572 nucleotides long. NCBI's taxonomy places the organism in Eukaryota, Metazoa, Arthropoda, Insecta, Lepidoptera, Bombycidae. The record is from RefSeq and is a predicted model, not a curated record.
UUCAAAAGACUACCAAGUACCCUUAGAUAAGACUUGAGUAGAAUGAUCCCAAUGUUUCUUCCAGUUAUCACACAUUCCUUUUUUAAGACAACUAUGAAUAUCUGUGAAAGGAAUUCCAACUUCAAAAUAUGGGACAGAACCCGCACUAUAAUUUGUUAUCAUGGUUGCUAAAUGGUCAGCUUUUUCAUUGCCCAAUAUGCCAAUGUGGGAUGGAACCCAAACUAGUACAAUAUUUACAUGACAAACUACAUUCAAAUAAUACAAAAGUUGUUUUAUACUAUACACUAAAUAAUUUACAUUUGUUUUAUUUACAUUAUUUUCAAGACUUUUUAAUAGGCUCAUACAAUCAGUGGCAAUAACCCACUUUGAACAAGUAUUUUUAUGCUUAUCUAUAUGUUGCAAUGCAGACAGAACUGCAACAGCUUCAGCAGAAUAUAUGCUCAAGUUGUUAUCAAGUUUAUAUCCAAGUCCAUCUUUCAGGAAACUAUCAUAAACAGCAAAAGAUGUGCAUAUAUCAUUUUUAGCCCCAUCUGUAUAAAUGAAUCUAUGAUCUCGCCAAGAAAAAAAUUUCUCAUAUACUUGUUCUUUUCUAUGUAAUUCAGAAUCUAUUACUAUAUUUAUAUCAGGGUAUUUACUUUCAAAUUCACCUUGAUAACAAGGAAAAUGGGAUUCAUUUCGCUGAAUUUCGCAUCAUGGAGAAAUUGAAGAAACCCAGAUAUAUUUUCAAGAACAAAUGGACAUUAUUUAUUGAAGAAAGUUGAAGAAGCAGAUGACAAAUAAAUAAGAUAAUGAAGUGGUGAAUAAAACACCAAGAAACUUAGCCUCUAAUGACAGAACCAAUGGUACACCUAAACCACACAGUUCUUUGAAGAGGACAUCAAUAUCAAAACUGGUAAUGCUCCAGAAAUAUCAAAAUAUACAGCAACAAGACAAUCUCUAUUUACAACACUAUUACAAAUAUCUAAAGGCAAUUGACAGAAGCUUUCAUGUGCAGAUUUACCUUUACGAAAACCAUACUGAUUGUCAGAUAUUAAAUUAUAUUUUUCAACAAAAAAUUCCAAUCUUUGUUUUAACAACUGUUCAAAAAGUUUACCCACGCAUGAAGUGAGAGUUAUUGGGCGAUAAGAAUUAGCAUUGUAUUUAGGUUUUUGAGGUUUUAAUACAGGUACUAAAAUGUCAAUUUUCCAGUCUGUUGGGAUUUCAAUAUUUAACCACAAUUCAUUCAGAAUCAACAAUAUUUUUCUCGGAAUCACUGAGGUUUUUAAACAAAAUGUAUGGAAUACCAUCAAAACCGAAUGCUGUAUUUUUACGAGAAGCGACUGCAGAUUUCAACUCUUGCAAAGUAAAAGAAUCACAUAAAAACUGUUGUUAUUAAUUGACAAAACAUUUUCAAUUUGUAGCUGAUUUUGAUAAACAGAACUGUAUUUUUCAAGAAACUCCAAAACCCAACCAUCUUGCUCUCCUUUUGAAUUAUAAAUUUUACAAAAUUUCCUCAUAUGUUUCCAGAUCAAAGUCAAUUGUGUUGAGCGAUUGAAUGAUUCACAAAGACGGACCCAACUGUUAUGUUUUUCU